GGUAACACGGGGGGAGGUGCGGGGGUCAGACAGAGGGGGGAAGUGUUAUUCGGGAUGUUUGGGCGGAAAGGGUGCGGAGGCGGUUGCUUAAGUGAGAGGUGUAAUCCCCGGGCGUAACCUGGGAACUGGAUCUCAUACUGGGGGGGUAGAGGACUGGAGAGGGUGGUAGAAUUCCACGUGUAGCGGUGAAAUGCGUAGAUAUAUGGAGGAACACCAGUGGCGAAGGCGACUCUCUGGUCUGUAACUGACGCUGAGGCUCGAAAGCGUGGGGAGCAAACAGGAUUAGAUACCCCUGUAGUC
RNAcentral lists this ribosomal RNA (300 nucleotides) under uncultured Aquifex sp. RNAcentral describes it as "partial 16S ribosomal RNA". It matches the Rfam family "Bacterial small subunit ribosomal RNA", at positions 496 to 795 of the family's 1533-position model. Lineage: Bacteria; Pseudomonadati; Aquificota; Aquificia; Aquificales; Aquificaceae. The record is from RNAcentral.